RNAcentral lists this transfer RNA (63 nucleotides) under Cavia porcellus (domestic guinea pig). It matches the Rfam family "tRNA", at positions 1 to 62 of the family's 71-position model. From Rfam's summary of the family: Transfer RNA (tRNA) molecules are approximately 80 nucleotides in length. Their secondary structure includes four short double-helical elements and three loops (D, anti-codon, and T loops). Further hydrogen bonds mediate the characteristic L-shaped molecular structure. tRNAs have two regions of fundamental functional importance: the anti-codon, which is responsible for specific mRNA codon recognition, and the 3' end, to which the tRNAs corresponding amino acid is attached (by aminoacyl-tRNA synthetases). tRNAs cope with the degeneracy of the genetic code in two manners: having more than one tRNA (with a specific anti-codon) for a particular amino acid; and 'wobble' base-pairing, i.e. permitting non-standard base-pairing at the 3rd anti-codon position. Lineage: Eukaryota; Metazoa; Chordata; Mammalia; Rodentia; Caviidae. The record is from Rfam by way of RNAcentral.
GGGGAUUUAGCUCAGCGGCAUAAGCACCUGCCUUGCAAGCAGGUGGUGUGAGUUCAAUCCCCA